GAUACCCCGUGUAGUCCUAGCCGUAAACGAUACUCGCUAGGUGUCGGCCACGGUGCGACCGUUGUCGGUGCCGUAGGGAAGCCGUGAAGCGAGCCACCUGGGAAGUACGGCCGCAAGGCUGAAACUUAAAGGAAUUGGCGGGGGAGCACCACAACGGGUGGAGCUUGCGGUUUAAUUGGAUUCGACGCCGGAAAUCUUACCGGGACCGACAGCAACAUGAAGGCCAGGCUGAAGACUUUGCCGGAUUAGCUG
This 252-nucleotide ribosomal RNA is filed under the name uncultured archaeon. Its description in RNAcentral is "partial 16S ribosomal RNA". It matches the Rfam family "Archaeal small subunit ribosomal RNA", at positions 732 to 982 of the family's 1478-position model. The record is from RNAcentral.